UACAGAGGGGGCAAGCGUUGUUCGGAAUUACUGGGCGUAAAGGGCGCGUAGGCGGCCUGCUAAGUCGAACGUGAAAUCCCUGGGCUCAACCCAGGAACUGCGUCCGAUACUGGUUGGCUUGAAUCCGGGAGAGGGAUGCAGAAUUCCUGGUGUAGCGGUGAAAUGCGCAGAUAUCAGGAGGAACACCAAUUGCGAAGGCAGCUCGCUGGGACGUAACUGACGCUGAGACGCGAAAGCGUGGGGAGCAAACAGG
Molecule: ribosomal RNA, 253 nt
Filed under: uncultured bacterium
Lineage: Bacteria
Description: partial 16S ribosomal RNA
Rfam family: Bacterial small subunit ribosomal RNA
Source: RNAcentral